RNAcentral lists this ribosomal RNA (94 nucleotides) under uncultured Synechococcus sp. RNAcentral's name for it is "partial 23S ribosomal RNA". Lineage: Bacteria; Bacillati; Cyanobacteriota; Cyanophyceae; Synechococcales; Synechococcaceae. The record is from RNAcentral.
GAGUAUGUCAGCUACAAGCUCACGCGAUACUGCACAAGAGCAUGAGACUGGUACUGCGAUAAGUCUCGGGGACUGAGCACGCUUUGAUCGCAUC